AGUGGCGGACGGGUGAGUAACGCGUGGGUAACCUGCCUCAUACAGGGGAGUAACAGUUAGAAAUAGACUGCUAAUACCGCAUAAGACCACAGCACCGCAUGGUGCAGGGUAAAAACGUACCGGUGGUAUGAGAUGGACCCGCGUCUGAUUAGGUAGUUGGUGGGGUAACGGCCUACCAAGCCGACGAUCAGUAGCCGACCUGAGAGGGUGACCGGCCACAUUGGGACUGAGACACGGCCCAA
This 242-nucleotide ribosomal RNA is filed under the name uncultured bacterium. RNAcentral describes it as "partial 16S ribosomal RNA". It matches the Rfam family "Bacterial small subunit ribosomal RNA", at positions 94 to 334 of the family's 1533-position model. The record is from RNAcentral.